AUCACCAUCCAAUAUAGUAGCAUUUGAACCAGAACUCUUGUUAAAUUCUUGAAAUCUCCUGCUUUCAUCAGUCUGUAAGAGAAAUGAAGAUGAGAAUAAUAGCCAGAACCGGAUUAAAUUCAAUCUGGUCUUUUGAAGACUUCUAUAACAACUAAGAGAACCCAGUGUACCGCCUACAGAUACUGUCAGGCUUCUAUCAAAUAUCCCAAACACCAAAAACCAACCCAAUUAAGCUAACAAACCUGCAUGAAUAUCUAAAUUUCAAUGCACGUGAAACAAACUCCGUGUUCAAUCCACCAAAACUAGCAAAUUUCAAACUUUAUCACUCAUCAUUCUCUCUCUGUCAGCUGUAUGAGGCUAUGAGAUCAUGUUAUAAUGUUCAUAUUGAUGCUGAAUGUUUUGCCAGCUUGUCUGAAUUCCAUAAGAGAAUGCAAUGUGCACAUUAUUGUGCCUUGCCCACCAUUAGAUUCUAAACCACAAAAUCAUUGUGUGAAGUAGCUGACGUUUCGCACAUUCUUAUCCCUUAUCAUCAAUAUUCUUCUCCUCAAGCUUAGAUCAUGGAAAUUUGAGUGACAAACAUGAUAACAUGGUAACACCAUCUAAACUUUAGGGGCAUAAAGUAACAUAGAAGCAACAUGGGAUGUUUUAAAAUCUAUUAUAAUUUGCUUAGGCCCCUGAAUAAAAUUAAAACUUGUAAUGAAAUAAAGUAGCAAAAUAAAGAUUGGAGGUCGCAUGCUUGAUAUUUGAUGCUGUCAAAAUUAAUUUGCAGUGCUGAAAUUGCUGCUCCAAUAAAUUUUUCAAUGGGAUUUCUAUAUUUACAACAAAUUUUCAGUAUUGAAACAGGAUUAAAAUCAUAAAGUAUCUUUUAAACAGCAGAGGCAACAAGAUCCUACAGAAAAAGAAGGCAAAAAGUAGUUACAAGCUACAGAAACGCAAAUAUUCUACUGGCCAACUCCCACUAAAUUCGAAGCAAUUCUAAAAUCUCAGCUUGUACUACGACAUCAUUCCUUCUAUGUGGCCCAACUGUACUUCACCCAGAAAUCACAUUUCUUCAUCAGAGAUAAUUUUACUUCUAAUAAGAGAGAAUUUUUUAUAUGCAUGGCUUUACAGUAAUGAAUAAUUUUCCUUAAAUCUUUUCUAACAGACAAGAAAGCACAAAGCACAAAAAUUGAUAUAAACAACUUUUCUCGAAGCUUUUUCAUAAGAAAACCUGAACAUGAUUGCUUCUCUUAGAAGGCCCCCUAGCUUCCUGCAAGAACCUUGUGCCCCCAAAAAAAACAAAGGAUUAUAAUUAGGCAUAAGGCUCCCAAUGUUCUUGCAGGAAUUAUGAUGAAUAUGAGAGUUUCAAAAAAGAAAAAAAAAUAUUACGACAACCUCUAGGCGGAGGAAAUCAGUUUUCUAGGAAUUCGUUAGAUUGGUGAAGUUAUAGAACCGCAGCAAUUUGCUGUAGUUUGGAAUGUUUUUGCCUUUCAUUAUAGCAUUUGAAAAGGCUCAAGGAUAUAGAAGAACCUUGGCUACAAAUUCAGGGAAGAUUUCACUUAUAAUGAGAAAUAAUCACCAUUAUUAUAUACAAUGAGAAAACAGUUAUGGAAGAAAUAGAAAGAAUUACCCGAAACGGAGGAUUUGGAAGACAAUGAGACAAAAGUAUAAAGAAGAAGAAAUUGGAGAUAUAAUGACUGCCUAUUUCUUUGAUGAACCCAUCAAAAACGGCUUGAAAAUUAAAGAAAUUGUAAAAUGCUGUAACGGAGGAAUUGAAACUGUAAAAGAUGCAAGUUAAUUCAUGGGGCUGGCCAUCUUGAUUGAUUGAACACCUAUUAGAUUUUUAAUAUUAAAGAACUCACUUUAAUGAUGUUUAAUUGGUAGUAGCCCUUUAUAGUCUUUAAACCUUUAGCAGUGCAAAGUCACAAGCUUUGUCCAGAAUCUAAGGGCGUAAGUUAUAGGCGAUGGGUGCCAUCACCUGGGCAACGACGUACAUCGCUUGGGCGACAAGCCAAUUUACUAGGCUCAUCGCAAACAGCCUUCGUCGCCUGGGCGAUGGCCAAAUCCAUCCAAUAAACUUUCAGCUCAUGUUUGAUAGUCUAAAAAAAGUAGUUAUGGUGGCCAUCACACAUCACAUUUUACUGACAAGCUGUCUUAAUUUUCAUAGAAAAUUGUUCCUACUGAUUUUCCAAUACUGGCCUAAUACUUGCAGAUUAUUAAACGAUUAUGGAAUGGCGGCGAUUUUAGACCAGUAAUUUUGUCAAUAAUUGCUAAUUCGCAAUCCCUUUACAAAUCUAAUAAUCUACUGCAUACACGCUCUUGAUGACUUGGAUUCUCAAAAAAUAACCAUUUUACGCCGCUGAAGCGCAGAAAAAUCAAUUGUUUUAUCCACUUCCAAAUAAAACUUAUUCUAGUAAAUGCGAUAAAGAAAUGUUUAUUUCAAUUUCCAACCCAGAUCUCAUAAAGAAUUUCUCACUCAAAUAAACAAAUAAAUAUCAUCUGGUAAUGGUAUGACAUUUAUUUUGAAGUAAACACUGGCCCACUAUUUUCUCAAUUUUCCAUUGUUUGAGGACACCAUUUUCUCAAUUGAAGAACAUGUUCUGGCCAAAAUUCACAAUUUUCUCCACGUGAUUUAAAGCACACAGGAUUCACACUUUUCUCCACGUGAUUUAAAAGCACACAGAAUUCUCCUGACCUUAAUUACGGAUCUUAUUAUGUUUAUUGAAAUCCAAUAUUGUAGACUCAUUGUUGUAGCUAGAAAAUCAUAUUAAUAGAGUAAAAUUUAUAAAUAAUCAAAGAAAAGAGUUCACGCUCUUACUUCAUUACUUUUAUAAUCUUAUUAGUAUAUCUACUUACAUGUCUUCAGAAAAUACAGUUUUAAGAGGAUAUUUUUAUUUUUCUUCGUAAUAAUAGAUUUAAUUUUCAUCUUUCUAAUGUUAAGUUGCAUAUUUGGAGUAAAUAAUAUUAAAUUUCAAAUUAGAUCACAGACCCCAUUUUAAUAGAUUCAAUUGGAUUUUGGACAUCUAAUUAAACAACUGGACUAAUAAAUUGCAAAUGAAUGAGAUUUAUAUGUGAUUUUAAAAUAAAAUUUGAACUCAAAUCUAUGUAUUUAAUUAAUCCAACAGGACAAAUUUAUAAUUUUCACCAACUAAAUAAAAUAUGUUAUCAGAAACUUUUGGACCAAGUCGCGCACUUCGUGGGUCUGCUACUACUUAUAGUCCAUUCUCAUUCAACUUUCACAUCUUUUAUAUUAUGUACAAAUUGGAUUAUAUUCUAAAACAGUGUUUCUAAUUGUUUAACGUUUUAUUUCUGGGUAUAUUUAGAGAUUAAAAAAUAUGGGAAACAUAAUUAAUUUUAUCAAAUAAAAAGGAGUAUUGUUCAUUUUUUCAUAAACAAUGUGUUAAAAUACUUUUGGUAUUUAAGAAGUAAAAAUUUUUAUUUUUGUUUCAUAAAAAAGCAUUCAAAAUUAUAUUAAAUAAAAUUAAAGAUUAACAAAACUGACAUCUGAAUUUCGUGCAAAUUAUAAUAAGUUUAUCUCCAGCGUGAGUAACAUUAAAGCUUGGCUAGCAUCAUCAUAUUUUAUCUCCAGCAUCAAAAUUCUGAUAACAUCAACAUCAUAAUUCCAAGGUUGUCAAAACUAAUUAUCAAAUUAAAAUCCUUUGUGAUUUAAGCUCUCUUGGACUUUUAAAAAUGUUAUGCCACCCCUUCUUUAAUAAUAGUAGUAUAUGAUUAUGAUUUAAUUAUUUUAUUUUUUUAAUUUAUCAAACACCAAUCACUUAAAUUAAACUCAAGAAAAAAAUUAGAACAUCAAAGAAUUUUAAUUGCUUCUUAUUAAGUACUAGAAUUAACUUCUCCCAAUGAUAAUUUAUUAAGCAAACCAUAAUGAUCAUCUUACACUAAAGAACCAACCCAUCUUCAAAACACAAGAAUUUAGUACAAAUAAUUAUCCCAAUAAAGUUUAACGAAAAAGAAAAGAGAUAUUUUUAUUAUUUCUUUUACUUUCUUAGUGGCUCUGCUACUACCUAUAGUCCAUUCUUAUUCAACAUACAGAUCUUUUAUAUUAUAUGCAAAUUAAAAUAUAUUCUAAAAAGUGUAUCCAACUGGUUAACAUAUUAUUUCUAUAUAAUAAUCAAUUUUAUCAAAUAAAAAGGAGUUUUGGUCAUUCAUUUGGCUCCGUUGCCACUGUUGUACGCUACAAAAGCUUUUGUCUUUGCUGACUCAGUUACUGUAAAAUGUCGUUCAGCCCCUUAUACUCUAUUUUAUUUAUAAGAAUUAUAAAAAUUUCUAAUUACCUACACUUUCAAAAUUCAAUUUAUCUCCUUACAAUCUUUUUCAUUUACUUUUUUUUGUAAGUAUUAAAAAGUUUCUAUUUACAACCACGACAUAGUAAUCAUCAUAACACACGAAUAUUUAUAAAAAUAUAAAAAUAUCACUAAAUUAAUACUAAAAAAUGUUUUCCUCUCUUGAGGAAUUAUGGUAUCUCAUUUUCGAUCACUCAUUAUCAACAAAAUUUUCAAAGAUAUGAUCAUUCAUCUUCUUUAUAAUAUCAUCUUAUAAUAAUUAAUACUUUCAUGAUUAAAAAAAUUAACAAAAUAAAGAUAAAUUCCCUUUGAAUCCAUCCCUCUCUACUAUCAUUUUCUCUUCAUUAGCAACAUUUAUCAAUAAUUGAAGCCACCAUCAGACUCAUCACACAGAGAGAGUGAGAGAGGGGAAGAAGAAACGGGAAAAAAAAAUAUAUGAGACAUUUACAAUUUUAUAGUGUGUUUAUUCAACGAGAUUCAUAUAUAGUUGCUAAGGGGUUUCAUUAGACACAGAGAGUUUAUUACACUGAAACUUUUAAUCCAGUAGUUAAGGCCUCAACAAUCAGAGUUAUUCUUAGCCUAGCAGUACUUAACAAGUGGAUAAUCAGACAAGUGGAUAUUAAUAAUGCCUUAAUGGCAUUUCAGUUGAAGAAGUUUACAUGGCACAACCUGAGGGAUUUGUGGAUCCUACUAAACCCCAACACAUCUGCAAAUUAAAAAGGACUAUAUAUGGCUUGAAGCAAGCUCUCAGGGCUUGGUUUGAUAGAUUCAAAGCUGCAAUGAUUACUCAAUGACAUUUUCAACACUCAAAAUCAGAUAAAAAAUAUCAAAAUAUUUAUAUCAUUAAACUUUUAGGCCUAAUUAACUAAUUAAAGUUCUAAAUUUUUAUUUAGGACAUUAAAAAGACCGGAUAGAUUCUAUUAGCCCAAAAAUUUUAUUUUAAUUUUAAUAUUCAUUAAAUAUUUUAAACUUAAAUCUAUUUUUUAUUUAUUUUUAGAUGUUAGAAUUGCCCACAGCGAAUCACAAUUUUAAUAUCUAAUCUAAUUUAAUCUAAUAUUUGCUCUUGAUUUGCUCUUACUUAACUAUUGUGUUGUAAAGGGAAUAGUCCACAUUUAUAAAGUGCCCACGCCACCCUUGAAAAAGUUAAUUUUGAAUCUAAAUUUGAUUUUAUUUGUAACAAUUUUGUAUUAGACUAUUAAUUUAUUUAUGAUAGUUUGUAAAAGAAGUUUGUAUCCCUUGCAUGCUGCGUUACUUACUAAUUUAAUGUAUGUGACUUUUGUAAUGGAUAUUAAUGCAAGAUAUUUUUCGAACUUUACUUUUAUUUAAAUUUUAUUUUAAUAUGAUUAACUCAAAUCGAAAAUAAAAAAAUGUAUUAAUUAUUCGGGGAUCGGGGACCCUCGGGGAUCCCCUAUUAUUAUUCGGGGAGGAGAUAGAGAUUCUCUUAAGUAAUUCUGACAGGGACGGGAAGGGGAUGAGGACAUACACAAAAUAUUGGGAAUGGUUACGGGGAGAUUGGUCCCCUCCCCUCCCCUCCCCAUUGCCAUCCCUAACUCCCUGACUAAAUAAUUUGGGAAUAUAAGGAUGCAAUAAGAGUUGAGUGGUCUUUAUUCCCAUAGCAUUAUUUUUUUCUCGCUUCAUCCGUGCUCUAUUCAAUCUUUAUGUGCCGCUUGUGUUAUGUUCCUGCAUAUCUAAUUACCUUUAGCUGCUUGUGUUAUGUUUACUUGUUUUGAUCUUAAUCUUUAAUCACUUAGCCUGAAUAAGAAAUAAUUUUUUAUAUUUGCUCUGCAAUGAUGUUAUUCGGUGUUAAUAGCUUCGUUUUGUUACUCUUUUCCGCACAGAUUCUUGAUCUCAACAGAACUUUUAUUUUGAAUAUUCUGCAUAAGGACAAUCUCAUUUAAUACCAUCAGUGAUUUUUCAUUUUUUUUCUCUUUAGUUUUAAUAUGUUUGAUAACUGUAUGGCUAAGCAAUCUAUGCAAUUUUAUCUUGUCGUAUGUUUGAGCUCAUUUUUUGUUGCAAUUCUGAAUAUUUGGUAUGAAUUAUGUGAUACCGGACAAUACUGUUAACUUGUUCAUUUCUUAAUUUUAAUAUCUUGUCAAAGUCACUAAUAGCAUUUCAUCAUGCUAUGAGUUAAACAUGGAACAAAUGACGACAUGCAGUUGUGGAAUGUGGUAGAUCUCUGGAAUUCUAUGUCCUUAUGCUUGUAGGGCAACACAAUACAUUAGUUAAAACAUUAAAGACUAUGAUGUCCGCAGAAAAUUAUAUGUCAACAUAUGCACCAGGCAUGAUGAAAUUAGCCAAAGACAGUGCUUGGAAACAAUUAACUAACUUUUGGCAUUAGGCGUAUCAAGUUCAAUUCGGUAUUUCACAAAACUUAAACUAACUUAUUCCUAAUUAUAGUGGACACAAUUAACUAACUUUGGCAACUGUUCUGAAGAGGAUGACUUCUUCAGGAUGACAUCAACUACCAGCGAUGAUACUAUCAGUAAGCUGCUUCUGCUAUCUAUUAAAUAUUACUGCUAAACGUAAUAUUGACAAUUUGUCUGUGUGCAGGCCUGUGAUAACCACUUGGAUCGGAUAAAGGACUGGGACAUCAACAAUUUGCCCAGAAACCAAUAAGAUAUCAUUGUAAUGUUUAAUUAUACAUGUAUUAGUUUCUCUUUGGAUGGUGCUCUUUGUUAUGCAAAAGUAUGGCGACUAUGUUUCAACCAGUGUAUCUAUUAUAUACACUAACUAUGAAUUACUAGAAAUUUUAUUACAUUAAUCAUUUUUAGAUAGCCACUCAUCUCAAACGAAACAAACUGGUCAGAGACACUUGACCCAACAUGCUUGUGAUCGACCUUAGAAUAAAUUUUUCUCACUCAAUAUAGACAACUUCUGUGAGGUUAAUAUUUCUUCAAAUGUCAAGAAAAGCAUUGGCCACAUAAAUGCAUACACAUGUUUUUGUUGGGAAGUUAAGCAGACGGGAACAACAUUGGACUAUAUACUCAUACACCAAACUUUAAUAAACUAAUAAAUAUAAUUUAAUAAUAAUUUAUUUCUCCUCGCUUAUGUGAGAAAAAGUCAAACCACAUAACGUAUUUAUAUUUUGUUAAGAAAUUUUACUGAUUGAACUAAUUAACACUAAUUUCUUAUCUCUCUUAACCAACGGAUAUUUUGAAGAUAGUUUUUUAUUUUCUAUAUUUUAUGUACUAAAUGAUUUUAAACCUCUAUCACGUCAUGAAUAAAUUGGAGUUUAGGUUGCUUAAAAUAAUAAUAAUAAUAAUAAUAAUAAUAAUAAUAAUAAUAAUUAAUAAAUGUAUUGAUGGAUUUCAUAAUCAUCCCACUUAGGGGUGGGCACGGUUCGGUUCGGUUCGAAAUUAAGUAGAACCGAUUUAAAUCGGUUAUUUUAUAAAAAGAACCGAAUAAGAACCAAACUCAAUAAGAACCAAACUCAAUAAGAACCGAACUCAAACGGUUCUUUUCGGAUCGGUUCGGUUCGGUUCGGUUUUUUCGGUUCUGGGUCUAUUGGGCCUAUUUUGAAUUUUUAAAUUUUUAGCCCAUUGGGCCUCAUAAAUGUAAUAAUUUUUUUCAACAAUUAAUUUAUCCUAAUUUUAUUACAAAUAUUAACAAUAAAUACAAAGUAUUCAAAACACAUUUUAUCACUAAUAUCUUACUAAUUAUUAAUAAGAUACUCCCAAAAUAUGAAAUAUUAAAAUUUCAAAAUACAUAACCAAACUCCAAUACUCCAUCUAUAUAAACAUAAUCAUAAUGUUAUAAAGAGAAAUAACACAUGUUUGAUUUGAAUAAAAUCAUGUUUGAUUUGAAUAAAAUUAUUAACACAUGUUUGAUUUGAAUAAAAUAAAAAAAUAAUUCGGUUCUUCGGUUCGGUUUUUUGGUUCAGCUAAGUGAACCGAAUACCGAACCGACAUUUCAGUUUUUUUUACAAACGGUAUAUUCGGUUUUUUUAAAAAAUAAAAACCGAACCGAAUUAAAAAAAACCGUCGGUUCGGUUUUUUUUAACAUUACGGUUUUUUUGCCCACCCCUAAUCUCACUCCUACGCCUCAAGACAAACAAGCUCACACUUCACGGAUCAGUCAAAGGAUCGGCUUUCAAGUCGUUGAAUUCACGGUGGUCAAACUAACGGAAAAACUAACGUGACGUCAAUCAGAUACGGUUUAUAAUAUAUGUAUCCUCAAUCAACGCAAAAAGUUUGAUCUGAAAAACCCUCUGCCUAAAACGCGUUUUCAGAAACGCGGUUUUGUUUUUCAAGUGGUUCCCAGAGCAUCCAUGCCAUGCUCUGUAUCAAUCAUUUCGUGCAUGUUUGGAGUUUGGCACGGCCAUUUUUACUGACUUUGUUAAGAAGUACUUAGAAGCUCAUUAGGAAAUGAUAACAAACGAAGCCUUGCGCUUUUACAUGUUACAUGCAUUAUUGGUAAGACGGUUGAUGAGUUACGUUAUAUGAACCCACAAUUAGUCGCCCAAUAGCCACCAUAUAUUAAAUAAUCAGUCAAAUUUUGAAUUGGGUAGUUAACUAAUUUCGAAUUACCGUAAGUCAUAAAUAAUGCAGGUUAGUAAGACCCGAGCCUAGGCAAAUUAAGGUCGUUAUCGCCUCUAAAUCAAGGCUGCAUAACCCAAAGUUAAGGGCACAUGUUCGAGUCCCAACUCCACAGUGUUGGAACUCUAUUAUAGUAUUAUUCCCUUUCACAUUAAAAGGAUAGGAUGGUUAUUUCUCUUACAUAUGUAGAUAGAUCAAAUAUAUCUUCUAAAUAAUAAUAGAUUUAUCAUUUUAAAGAGUUGUUUUAGAUAUGUGGAUAGAUCAAAUAAUAGACACCCUUUCCAUGAAAGGAGACUCAUUGAUUAUUGUUAAAAAAAAAAUUCGUUGAUGUUAUUAGAGAACUUGCAAUUUUUUUAUAACACUAAAUUUUUUAAUUUUUUAAGAUUUUUCUAUGAAUAGCAUGAAUUUUUUAUAGCAUUGGUAAUGAGGAUAUUAUGGACCUUUAGAUUUAAAUAUUUUAAUCUUCGCCAUUCAUUCAAUUUAGUGGAUAAAUAACUAAUUACUUAAUUUUUCAAGUUGCAUGUAGUAUAUAAGUUUAUGUAUGUAAUUCUAUUUUUAAUAAAUAAAUAAAUAAAUUUUAAAUCACUAACAAAAAAAAAUGCAAAUAUGUAUGUUAGUUUAGACGUGUACAUAAUAGAUAUGAAUUGAUAUUAUUUAAUUAUUGCACAAGACAUGCUAAUAAUGAUCUCUUUUGUCAAUAAUAAUCAGGAGAAUAAAAUGUUAAUUUCUUGAUUUUACUGGAUGGCUAAGAUCGAGUUAAGUCAAUUUUCGUUAUAUUUGUUAAUCUAAUAAUAUGUUGGCGAAAAAGAGGGAAUAUGAUUACAAACUAAGAUUGAGUUAAUUUUUUUAAUUCAGUCUUUAAAAAAUUGUACAACUGGUUUGAUAAUUGGUUAAUGAAAUUUUAAAUAACUAAAAUCAAGAUAUUAUUUUAACUAUAACUUCUAAUUUUGUACCAAACGUUGAUGAUCUUGAUGGGCGCAGAGGAUAGUUGGGUACGGUGCUGUAGUGGGCAACUAUGAGGAUAAAGUGAUGGUGACUGGAAUUGACAUAGGGGUAUACUUGGAUGAUGUUGAUUAUAGUGCGGCUGAGGCUUUAUGCUUUAGCUUAGAGUUGCUUAUCAAGAAUCUAUUAAUAACACAUUAUACUCAUACACCAAAGUUUAAUCUGAAUGAAUCAAGUAAUUCUAUGUUAAUAAAAGUUUUUAGACUUACGAUGAGGGUCUAGUUUAUAUAAAUGCAAAUAACACUGAAAUCUAAUAAUCCUUUACAAAUAAAUAUGAUUUAUUCAAUUAUCGCAAACAAUUGUUUUAUCAGAGUUAAUUACAUUAUUGCUAAACUUGUAUAAGCUUUCCUGUUUCAAGCAUAUCUACUUAAUUACAUUAUUCAUCGACAAUGUUACUUUGCUAGUAGAAGUUUUAUGUUUUCAUACCUUAAUCACUAUUUAACGCUUCGUUUUCCAAUAGUUCUAAUUCUUCAAAUUUUGGUUUUAUUCUUCCAUAAUUAUAAAUUGAUACUGAUUCGCACGACUCAAAUUAAAGUGGUUAAUUACUCUAAAAGUAUAAAUUUGGCAGUCAAUAAUUACUUAAAAAUAAUUGCAAAAAAAUUAAUAAGGAAUAGUAUAAAUUUAAAAACCGCUAAAGUUACGAGAUCCAUGCUUGAUAUUUAAAUCAUGGUCAUAAUACUCUUUCUCUCUCUCUCUCUCUCUCACACACACACACACAUAUAUAUAUAACCACUUUCAAUAUUAUGUUACUUAGUUCUUAAUUAACCGCUCUAUAAAUAAAUAUGAGAAUUAAGUACAUAUUAUGCUACAACCUUAUUGGAGUGUUCCCACUACCAUAUUAGUAGUCAACAUUAGGUCUAAACACCCACAUAAUAUUUUUGGUGAACUUGCAACCACAACCUUUAAAUUAGGGGUGGGCACGGUUCGGUUCGGUUCGAAAUUAAGUAGAACCGAUUUAAAUCGGUUAUUUUAUAAAAAGAACCGAAUAAGAACCAAACUCAAUAAGAACCGAACUCAAACGGUUCUUUUCGGAUCGGUUCGGUUCGGUUCGGUUUUUUCGGUUCUGGGUCUAUUGGGCCUAUUUUGAAUUUUUAAAUUUUUAGCCCAUUGGGCCUCAUAAAUGUAAUAAUUUUUUUCAACAAUUAAUUUAUCCUAAUUUUAUUACAAAUAUUAACAAUAAAUACAAAGUAUUCAAAACACAUUUUAUCACUAAUAUCUUACUAAUUAUUAAUAAGAUACUCCCAAAAUAUGAAAUAUUAAAAUUUCAAAAUACAUAACCAAACUCCAAUACUCCAUCUAUAUAAACAUAAUCAUAAUGUUAUAAAGAGAAAUAACACAUGUUUGAUUUGAAUAAAAUCAUGUUUGAUUUGAAUAAAAUUAUUAACACAUGUUUGAUUUGAAUAAAAUAAAAAAAUAAUUCGGUUCUUCGGUUCGGUUUUUUGGUUCAGCUAAGUGAACCGAAUACCGAACCGACAUUUCAGUUUUUUUUACAAACGGUAUAUUCGGUUUUUUUAAAAAAUAAAAACCGAACCGAAUUAAAAAAAACCGUCGGUUCGGUUUUUUUAACAUUACGGUUUUUUUGCCCACCCCUAAUCUCACUCCUACGCCUCAAGACAAACAAGCUCACACUUCACGGAUCAGUCAAAGGAUCGGCUUUCAAGUCGUUGAAUUCACGGUGGUCAAACUAACGGAAAAACUAACGUGACGUCAAUCAGAUACGGUUUAUAAUAUAUGUAUCCUCAAUCAACGCAAAAAGUUUGAUCUGAAAAACCCUCUGCCUAAAACGCGUUUUCAGAAACGCGGUUUUGUUUUUCAAGUGGUUCCCAGAGCAUCCAUGCCAUGCUCUGUAUCAAUCAUUUCGUGCAUGUUUGGAGUUUGGCACGGCCAUUUUUACUGACUUUGUUAAGAAGUACUUAGAAGCUCAUUAGGAAAUGAUAACAAACGAAGCCUUGCGCUUUUACAUGUUACAUGCAUUAUUGGUAAGACGGUUGAUGAGUUACGUUAUAUGAACCCACAAUUAGUCGCCCAAUAGCCACCAUAUAUUAAAUAAUCAGUCAAAUUUUGAAUUGGGUAGUUAACUAAUUUCGAAUUACCGUAAGUCAUAAAUAAUGCAGGUUAGUAAGACCCGAGCCUAGGCAAAUUAAGGUCGUUAUCGCCUCUAAAUCAAGGCUGCAUAACCCAAAGUUAAGGGCACAUGUUCGAGUCCCAACUCCACAGUGUUGGAACUCUAUUAUAGUAUUAUUCCCUUUCACAUUAAAAGGAUAGGAUGGUUAUUUCUCUUACAUAUGUAGAUAGAUCAAAUAUAUCUUCUAAAUAAUAAUAGAUUUAUCAUUUUAAAGAGUUGUUUUAGAUAUGUGGAUAGAUCAAAUAAUAGACACCCUUUCCAUGAAAGGAGACUCAUUGAUUAUUGUUAAAAAAAAAAUUCGUUGAUGUUAUUAGAGAACUUGCAAUUUUUUUAUAACACUAAAUUUUUUAAUUUUUUAAGAUUUUUCUAUGAAUAGCAUGAAUUUUUUAUAGCAUUGGUAAUGAGGAUAUUAUGGACCUUUAGAUUUAAAUAUUUUAAUCUUCGCCAUUCAUUCAAUUUAGUGGAUAAAUAACUAAUUACUUAAUUUUUCAAGUUGCAUGUAGUAUAUAAGUUUAUGUAUGUAAUUCUAUUUUUAAUAAUGACAAUUGAUUGUGUUAGCAUUUUGGUCAAAAAGGUGGACCCCCCCAAAAACAAACAAAAAAAAUUUAUGAUAAUAAUUAACAUUGAUAAAUAAAAAUAUUAAUAAUGGGUGUGUUAGCAUUUUGGUCCAAAGCCGAUUUGGCCUUGACAUUAAUUGGAAUUUUGGAUCUAUAAUAUGAUUUUCACCGAAAAGAUAAUUUUGCCGCUAAUUAUUUGGGUAGUCAGAUAAUAAUAACAAAAAAAUGUUAUCUCGAUCUCACCUAUAACUUGAGGAGAUAAUAAUGAUAGUCUUUCAUAAUACUCUACUGUUUAGUUUCUCUUCUUCAUUUUUUUCCCCUUUGAAGUCUUUCAACAAAAAUGGGUGGCAUCAUCUCAACCUUCUUCUCAGCGGACACAAUUCGUCCAAUUUUAUUUUACGUCGGUGGACGAGCAAAGUAUAUAUGGGGUCUUAAAGGUAAUCUCGAUGACUUGCAAACUGAAACGGAGAACUUGAUUGCGAAAAAACUAGAUCUACUGAAUAAGGUUAGGCUUGCCGAACAACAACAGCCUCGUGCCCAACGGACGAGCACGGUGAAACUCUGGUUCGAAAGGGUGGAUCGAAGUGUAACUCUUGUUGAGGGGCUGCAACAAGAAAGAGAUCAAGAGAUUGACAGAUUGUGUCUUGGAGGCUUCUGUUCCAAGGACUUGAUUUCAAGCUACGACUUCGGCAAAAAGGUGGAGAAGUUGAAGGAAGAAGUAAUCAAAUUGAGGGAAAAAGGAGAAGCAAUGAAAGAAGUUUAUGAGGGGUUACCAGAAGGUGCAGCGGUUGCAAUAGCUGUUGACCGAACAAUUGUUGGUCAAGAAUCAAUACUUGACCAAGUUUGGAGAUGCAUCACUGAUCAAAAAAAGAAUAAUGGAAUUAUUGGCUUAUAUGGUAUGGGGGGCAUCGGCAAAACUACUCUGUUAAAACAAGUCAAUAACAAAUUCUGCAGUGAGGAGCAUGAUUUUGAUGUCGUUAUCUGGUCGGUUGUAUCUAGAGAGCCAAACUUGAAGCAGAUUCAAGAGGAUAUUGGGAAAAGGAUAGGCUUCUCAACAGAUUCAUGGCAGAGAAAAAGGUUUGAAGAAAGGGCUUCAGACAUCACCAACACUUUAAAGCAUAAGAAGUUUGUAUUGUUAUUGGAUGAUAUAUGGGAGUCCGAAAUUGAUUUAACCAAAUUGGGCGUCCCUCUUCAGACACUAGAUUCUGGGUCCAGAAUAGUCUUCACAACUCGUUUUGAGGGUACUUGUGGUAAAAUGGGAGCCCAUAAGAAUCGGUACAAAGUGUUUUGUUUGGGAGAUGACGAUGCCUGGAAAUUAUUUGAGGGGGUGGUCGGGAGAUACGUUCUUAACAAGCAUCCCGACAUUCCGAAGUUAGCCGAGGAUGUGGCACGUCAGUGUCAUGGUUUGCCGCUAGCACUCAAAACAGUAGGUAAUGCCAUGGCGAGCAAAGUGUACCCUGAAGAAUGGAAAGAAGCAAUUGAGAUCCUAAGCGCAUCAGCUUCUAAAUUCGAAGAUAUGGAGAAAAAGGUGCUUUCGAGCUUAAAGUUCAGCUAUGAUAGUUUGCCGAAAGAUGAACUUCGAUCUUGUCUCCUGUACUGUUGCUUAUUUCCCGAAGACUCUGAAAUUCUAAAAACCGAGUUGAUAGAGUAUUGGAAAAGUGAAGGAUUUGUGCAUUCUAGCAGCGGGUGGGGGGUUCUUGGUGCUCUCGUUCGUGCAUGCUUAUUGGAGGAAGCAGGUGAUCGUGUAAAAAUGCACGAUAUGAUCCGUGACAUGGCAUUAUGGAUAGCAAAUGAAGUAGAGGAGGAGGAGGAGAACUUUUUGGUUCGUGCAGGAGUUGGAUUAACUGACGCCCCAAAGAUUGAAGAAUGGGAAGGGGUCAAAAGGAUAUCCUUGAUGCAGAACAAAAUUCAAAGUCUACCACAAAUUCCCUCUUGUCCGCGUCUGCAAACAUUGCUUCUGGCGAGUAAUCGUAUUAAGGAGAUCACUGAGAGUUUCUUUCAAUCUUUGCCUUCACUUAGAGUUUUGAGUCUAAGAAGAAAUCGUUCCCUGACUGAACUUCCUGUGGGGAUUUCAAGUCUGGUUUCAUUACACCAUCUUGAUAUGUCUUCUACUAAAGUACGUGGAUUGCCGCAAGAGCUCAAGGCAUUGGUGAAUCUGAGAUAUUUGAACUUGGAGUAUACACGUGGAAUGUCUAGAAUUCCACAGCAAUUAAUAUCAAGCUUUUCAAAGUUACAGGUACUCAGGAUGCUGCGUUGCGGUCGACGUUACCAGCCAAUAGUGGAAGAAGGCAACGUUCUAUCUGCUGAUGCUGAAUCAUUGAUGAAGGAAAUCCACUGUUUGGAACAAUUAAAUCUCAUCACCUUGUCCUUACAUGGUUCGCGUGGUGUUGAAAACUUUCUGAAAUUCCCAAAGCUGCAGAAUAUCACUCAAGCUCUGUCCAUCGAAGACUGCAACAGUCUACCGCUCAAUUUGUUACAUCUAGCAAACAUGGAGCAUCUUGAGGAGUUAUAUAUCGAGGAUAGUAAUUUGGAAGACUGGAAUGUCGACUGCGCGGGAGAGGUACAAAAAAUGCGUAAACUUCACUCGGUUCUCAUACGGAAUUGCUCAAAUGUGAAGGACUUGACGUGGCUUGUUUUUGUUCCAAAUCUCAAGUGGCUGCGAAUAGUUGGUUGUGAUGACAUGGAAGAAAUAAUCAGUGUUGAAAAAUUUGAAAAAUUGAGUGAAGUUUCAGAGAUGAUGGGAGAGCUUAACUUGUUCUCAGAACUCGAACUUCUGGUAAUAAGAAAUGCAAGUAAUUUGGAGCGCAUCUACCGCGAUCCCUUGCCCUUUCCACAGCUGAACCGAAUUAGCAUAUUGAAAUGCCCAAAGUUGAAGAAGCUCCCACUCAAUUCCAGCAGCGCAAAGGGACGUAAAAUUGCCCUUGCGGGACAGAAAGAAUGGUGGGAAGAGCUACAAUGGGAGGAUCAAGCCACUCAAAAUGCUUUCUCUCCCUGUUUCCGACCUAUUGAAGAAUAAAGUGCGAUAAGGCACAAAAGUGUGAAUAAAAUUUCUGCGCGUGCUUAAUGAUUAUCUUGUCUAUCUAUUUCAUUUAAUUUAAAAGUUUUCUACGGAGUUGCAUGUGUGUCACUUGUCAUUCUUCUGUACUGCUGUUUCCUAUUUCCAGUUAAUAAAAUUUUUUUGUUCUUAGAGUUAGAAAUGCUUUACUUGUAAGGGAGAUUCACAAUUUUCCCAUAUUAUGAUUAAUAUAUUCUUUUUACUUUCCUACUAUUUUGCAUAAUUUUUUAAUAUUAUUUUUAUUUCUAAAUAUAUUUUUAUUCAUAUUUAUUAUAAAUUAAAUAAAUGUAUGAAUAGAAAUAAAAAUAAAAAUAAAAAUUAAGUAUUAAAACAAGAAAUAUAUAUUAUGAUUUGAAUAAAAAAUAAAUAUUUUUUUGUACUUAGAAUGCCAUUUGUCGUGAGCACCUGAAUCCCCAAAGGACUCCCAGCUUCAAGUGGCUUUGACUUAGCUUGCUUUAGCUCCAUUGCACAUACUCACUCACAUGGAGGAAAUGAACAGAACAAGAAACCUCAUCAUGCCGAAUAUGAUAGAUAUGACAAGGCAUUACAUUGUAGGAAGCUCCCGAUUUCUCUAAAAAACUCUGCAGGUUCUCCGCAAUCAAGGCGUGCUCCAUCUUUAACAGAUCACUUCUACCAUUAAGAGAAGGAAGAGAGUUCCUCUCGUGUGACAGUAAAUCCUUACUUAACACAGGAUUGGAGCCAACCAAGAAGGGAAGGCAAUUUCGUUAGAUUAAGAAUCGAAUCACCAUCCAAUAUAGUAGCAUUUGAACCAGAACUCUUGUUAAAUUCUUGAAAUCUCCUGCUUUCAUCAGUCUGUAAGAGAAAUGAAGAUGAGAAUAAUAGCCAGAACCGGAUUAAAUUCAAUCUGGUCUUUUGAAGACUUCUAUAACAACUAAGAGAACCCAGUGUACCGCCUACAGAUACUGUCAGGCUUCUAUCAAAUAUCCCAAACACCAAAAACCAACCAAAUUAAGCUAACAAACCUGCAUGAAUAUCUAAAUUUCAAUGCAUAUGAAACAAACUCCAUGUUCAAUCCACCAAAACUAGCAAAUUUCAAACUUUAUCACUCAUCAUUCUCUCUCUGUCAGCUGUACGAGGCUAUGAGAUCAUGUUAUAAUGUUCAUAUUGAUGCUGAAUGUUUUGCCAGCUUGUCUGAAUUCCAUAAGAGAAUGCAAUGUGCACAUUAUUGUGCCUUGCCCACCAGUAGAUUCUAAACCACAAAAUCAUUCUGUGAAGUAGCUGACGUUUCGCACAUUCUUAUCCCUUACCAUCAAUAUUCUUCUCCUCAAGCUUAGAUCAUGGAAAUUUGAGUGAUAACACGAUCUAAACUUUAGGGGCAUAAAGUAACAUAGAAGCAACAUGGGAUGUUUUAAAAUCUAUUAUAAUUUGCUUAGGCCCCUGAAUAAAAUUAAAACUUGAAAUGAAAUAAAGUAGCAAAAUAAAGAUUGGAGGUCGCAUGCUUGAUAUUUGAUGCUGUCAAAAUUAAUUUGCAGUGCUGAAAUUGCUGCUCCAAUAAAUUUUUCAAUGGGAUUUCCAUAUUUACAACAAAUUUUCAGUAUUGAAACAGGAUUAAAAUCAUAAAGUGUCUUUUAAACAGCAGAGGCAACAAGAUCCUACAGAAAAAGAAGGCAAAAAGUAGUUACAAGCUACAGAAACGCAAAUAUUCUACUGGCCAACUCCCACUAAAUUCGAAGCGAUUCUAAAAUCUCAGCUUGUACUACUACAUCAUUCCUUCUAUGUAGCCCAACUGUACUUCACCCAGAAAUCACAUUUCUUCAUCAGAGAUAAUUUUACAUCAUUCCUUAUCAUUAGGCAUAAGGCUCCCAAUGUUCUUGGAGGAAUUAUGAUGAAUAUGAGGGUUUCAAAAAAGAAAAAAAAAUAUUAUGACAACCUCUAGGCGGAGGAAAUCAGUUUUCUAGGAAUUCGUUAGAUUGGUGAAGUUAUAGAACCUUAGCAAUUUGCUGUAGUUUGGAAUGUUUUUGCCUUUCAUUAUAGCAUUUGCAAAGGCUCAAGGAUAUAGAAGAACCUUGGCUACAAAUUCAGGGAAGAUUUCACUUAUAAUGAGAAAUAAUCACCAUUAUUCUAUACAAUGAGAAAACAGUUAUGGAAGAAAUAGAAAGAAUUACCCGAAACGAAGGAUUUGGAAGACAAUGAGACAAAAGUAUAAAGAAGAAGAAAUUGGAGAUAUAAUGGCUGCCAAUUUCUUUGAUGAACCCAUCAAAAACGGCUUGAAAAUUAAAGAAAUUGUCAAAUGCUGUAACGGAGGAAUUGAAACUGUAAAAGAUGCAAGUUAAUUCAUGGGGCUGGCCAUCUUGAUUGAUUGAACACCUACACGUGACAAGUGUGCGAUAAUCG
Molecule: long non-coding RNA, 17909 nt
Filed under: Citrus maxima (pomelo)
Lineage: Eukaryota; Viridiplantae; Streptophyta; Magnoliopsida; Sapindales; Rutaceae
Description: long non-coding RNA (CMAX_LNC000213)
Source: RNAcentral